RNAcentral lists this ribosomal RNA (473 nucleotides) under uncultured bacterium. RNAcentral's name for it is "partial 16S ribosomal RNA". It matches the Rfam family "Bacterial small subunit ribosomal RNA", at positions 28 to 507 of the family's 1533-position model. The record is from RNAcentral.
GAUAAACGCUGGCGGCGCACAUAAGACAUGCAAGUUGAACGGACUUAAUCGAAAUAUUUAUAUUUUGAAGCGGUUAGUGGCGGACUGGUGAGUAACGCGUAAGGAACCUGCCUAUUAGAGGGGAAUAACAGUGAGAAAUCAUUGCUAAUACCGCAUAUGCCUUAGAUAUCACAUGAUAACAGUGGGAAAGGAGCAAUCCGCUAAUAGAUGGCCUUGCGUCUGAUUAGAUAGUUGGUGGGGUAACGGCCUACCAAGUCGACGAUCAGUAGCCGGACUGAGAGGUUGAACGGCCACAUUGGGACUGAGAUACGGCCCAGACUCCUACGGGAGGCAGCAGUCGGGAAUAUUGCGCAAUGGAGGAAACUCUGACGCAGUGACGCCGCGUAUAGGAAGAAGGUUUUCGGAUUGGAAACUAUUGUCGUUAGGGAAGAGAAAGGACAGUACCUAAGGAGGAAGCUCCGGCUAACUACGUG